GAGUUUGAUCAUGGCUCAGAUUGAACGCUGGCGGCAGGCCUAACACAUGCAAGUCGAGCGGAUGGCGGGAGCUUGCUCCUUGAUUCAGCGGCGGACGGGUGAGUAAUGCCUAGGAAUCUGCCUGGUAGUGGGGGACAACGUUUCGAAAGGAACGCUAAUACCGCAUACGUCCUACGGGAGAAAGCAGGGGACCUUCGGGCCUUGCGCUAUCAGAUGAGCCUAGGUCGGAUUAGCUAGUUGGUGGGGUAAUGGCUCACCAAGGCGACGAUCCGUAACUGGUCUGAGAGGAUGAUCAGUCACACUGGAACUGAGACACGGUCCAGACUCCUACGGGAGGCAGCAGUGGGGAAUAUUGGACAAUGGGCGAAAGCCUGAUCCAGCCAUGCCGCGUGUGUGAAGAAGGGUCUUCGGAUUGUAAAGCACUUUAAGUUGGGAGGAAGGGCAGUAAGUUAAUACCUUGCUGUUUUGACGUUUACCGACAGAAUAAGCACCGGCUAACUCUGUGCCAGCCGCCG
This 515-nucleotide ribosomal RNA is filed under the name bacterium enrichment culture clone ALO1_GLFRUDD03FWWYZ. RNAcentral describes it as "bacterial SSU rRNA". It matches the Rfam family "Bacterial small subunit ribosomal RNA", at positions 9 to 517 of the family's 1533-position model. The record is from RNAcentral.